UAUUUUCGAUGAUAGGACGUCCGAUUCGGCGAUCGGUUCCGUUAGACAUGAUCUACGCUAUUGGAACUAUCUAGAAACCAAAUUUCAUAAUUUUUUGACUUCAUUUGCCUAGUGAACGAGUAGCCUCAAAAUGAACGGUUGAAAAUAAAAAUCUCAUAAAAAAAAAUGAUAAAGGACUCAAAUUUCAAAUCGGAAGUAUUGAUCUUGCUAUUGACGUUAAGUAGAAUUUUCUAUUAAAUUUUCAUGUAAUUUGGAUACUUCUACACUGUUGAACUUAAAAACGUACCACAUCGGCCGUUAAAAUAGUCAUUUUUGGGACCUUUUGAUCGCUUAGUAAAUGAUGUCAAAAAAUUAUAAAAUUUGGUUUCUAGAUUGUUCCAAUAGG
This 385-nucleotide long non-coding RNA is filed under the name Ananas comosus (pineapple). RNAcentral describes it as "long non-coding RNA (ACOM_LNC017191)". The record is from RNAcentral. Lineage: Eukaryota; Viridiplantae; Streptophyta; Magnoliopsida; Poales; Bromeliaceae.